Non-coding RNA from Chlorocebus sabaeus (green monkey), 189 nucleotides. Lineage: Eukaryota; Metazoa; Chordata; Mammalia; Primates; Cercopithecidae. The record is from RefSeq and is a predicted model, not a curated record.
CACGAAUUUUUGUAAGAAGACUGUCUACCAAUGGAAUUCCUGGCCUGGAGAGGAUAUUGCUGUCAAAGGAAUGGAUUCAUUUUUUUAUUAAAAGAGAUGAACUUAUGAAUUCAACAGGUGAAGAUUUACAACUUGAUAAAUCAGCUUCAUGAGCUCCAACUGUAAGCUCAAAGGUCCGGGGAUGAUCCC